CAACAAGGCCACGGGCCCCCGAAGCUCCGGCGGAAGGGGCACCGGCCUGACUUAUAUACCCACCCUUUGCCUAUGUGUACCUCUAUCGCUUCCCCGGCGGGUUCGCCCGCCGCCAGGAACCCACGCCAACCUUUGCAUUAUACAUCAACACUUCUGAUACCCACCAAAACUAUUA
RNAcentral lists this unclassified non-coding RNA (175 nucleotides) under soil metagenome. RNAcentral describes it as "partial internal transcribed spacer 1". The record is from RNAcentral.